RNAcentral lists this ribosomal RNA (446 nucleotides) under Borreliella burgdorferi (Lyme disease spirochete). RNAcentral's name for it is "bacterial SSU rRNA". It matches the Rfam family "Bacterial small subunit ribosomal RNA", at positions 88 to 520 of the family's 1533-position model. The record is from RNAcentral. Lineage: Bacteria; Pseudomonadati; Spirochaetota; Spirochaetia; Spirochaetales; Borreliaceae.
UCAUUCUGUGGCCAAAAGGUGAGUAACGCGUGGAUUCCCUACCUAUGAAAUGGGGAUAACUAUUAGAAAUAGUAGCUAAUACCGAAUAAGGUCAGUUAAUUUGUUAAUUGAUGAAAGGAAGCCUUUAAAGCUUCGCUUGUAGAUGAGUCUGCGUCUUAUUAGCUAGUUGGUAGGGUAAAUGCCUACCAAGGCAAUGAUAAGUAACCGGCCUGAGAGGGUGAACGGUCACACUGGAACUGAGAUACGGUCCAGACUCCUACGGGAGGCAGCAGCUAAGAAUCUUCCGCAAUGGGCGAAAGCCUGACGGAGCGACACUGCGUGAAUGAAGAAGGUCGAAAGAUUGUAAAAUUCUUUUAUAAAUGAGGAAUAAGCUUUGUAGGAAAUGACAAAGUGAUGACGUUAAUUUAUGAAUAAGCCCCGGCUAAUUACGUGCCAGCCAGCCGCAA